AUGAAGUGUGGUGGGUUAGAAUGAAGUGUGGUAGGUUAGAAUGAAGUGUGGUAGGUUAGAAUGAAGUGUGGUAGGUUAGAAUGAAGUGUGGUAGGUUAGGGUGAAGUGUGGUAGGUUAGGAUGAAGUGUGGUAGGUUAGACUGAAGUGUGGUAGGUUAGACUGAAGUGUGGUAGGUUAGACUGAAGUGUGGUAGGUUAGAAUGAAGUGUGGUAGGUUAGAAUGAAGUGUGGUAGGUUAGAAUGAAGUGUGGUAGGUUAGAAUGAAGUGUGGUAGGUUAGAAUGAAGU
Molecule: long non-coding RNA, 287 nt
Organism: Homarus americanus (American lobster)
Lineage: Eukaryota; Metazoa; Arthropoda; Malacostraca; Decapoda; Nephropidae
Exons: 3
Source: RefSeq, a predicted model, not a curated record